ACCACUGAGUUAUCAAAUCAUCAUGCUGCAGUUUAUCAACUUUCUUGAAUCACCGCUUCUAAGUCAUGUCUUGUGCAAUUCAGAAUAAGGGCCGAUGGCUAAUUCUCUUAUUUUAGUAGAUGAAGCAUGUGCAACAAUGAGAUAUACGGGAUUCAUCAGGAGUCAUUUCUUGAUCCCAUUUAGGUUAUGUUUCGAAAAUAUAAUAGAAUUGAGCUGAAGUG
Molecule: long non-coding RNA, 221 nt
Filed under: Elaeis guineensis (African oil palm)
Lineage: Eukaryota; Viridiplantae; Streptophyta; Magnoliopsida; Arecales; Arecaceae
Description: long non-coding RNA (EGUI_LNC025511)
Source: RNAcentral